GAUUUUGAUGUACUUAAUUAUCAUAUAUUCCUUGAAUAUGGCAAGGAGUUUCUACAGGAAACCGUAAAUUUCUGACUAUGAGAGAUUAAGAUAGGAUU
RNAcentral lists this non-coding RNA (98 nucleotides) under Clostridium tepidiprofundi. RNAcentral describes it as "Guanine sequence". It matches the Rfam family "Purine riboswitch aptamer". From Rfam's summary of the family: Riboswitches are metabolite binding domains within certain messenger RNAs that serve as precision sensors for their corresponding targets. Allosteric rearrangement of mRNA structure is mediated by ligand binding, and this results in modulation of gene expression. A class of riboswitches that selectively recognises guanine and becomes saturated at concentrations as low as 5 nM. Lineage: Bacteria; Bacillati; Bacillota; Clostridia; Eubacteriales; Clostridiaceae. The record is from RNAcentral. RNAcentral also lists the same sequence under 1 other name.